This 429-nucleotide ribosomal RNA is filed under the name Chloroflexota bacterium. RNAcentral describes it as "Chloroflexi bacterium partial 16S ribosomal RNA". It matches the Rfam family "Bacterial small subunit ribosomal RNA", at positions 355 to 776 of the family's 1533-position model. The record is from RNAcentral. Lineage: Bacteria; Bacillati; Chloroflexota.
UGGGGAAUAUUGCACAAUGGGCGCAAGCCUGAUGCAGCCAUGCCGCGUGUAUGAAGAAGGCCUUCGGGUUGUAAAGUACUUUCAGCGGGGAGGAAGGGAGUAAAGUUAAUACCUUUGCUCAUUGACGUUACCCGCAGAAGAAGCACCGGCUAACUCCGUGCCAGCAGCCGCGGUAAUACGGAGGGUGCAAGCGUUAAUCGGAAUUACUGGGCGUAAAGCGCACGCAGGCGGUUUGUUAAGUCAGAUGUGAAAUCCCCGGGCUCAACCUGGGAACUGCAUCUGAUACUGGUCAGCUAGAAUCUUGUAGAGGGGGGUAGAAUUCCAUGUGUAGCGGUGAAAUGCGUAGAGAUGUGGAGGAAUACCGGUGGCGAAGGCGGCCCCCUGGACAAAGACUGACGCUCAGGUGCGAAAGCGUGGGGAGCAAACAGG